RNAcentral lists this small RNA (590 nucleotides) under Pan troglodytes (chimpanzee). RNAcentral's name for it is "processed transcript". The record is from RNAcentral. Lineage: Eukaryota; Metazoa; Chordata; Mammalia; Primates; Hominidae.
UUAUACCAGGAAACAGACAAGAGAACAAGAGGCUGCCGAAGACAAAACUUCUCUGCAAGCACCUGUGCACAGCAAUGUGCGUGGGCAUCUGUGAGAAGAAGAGAAUCUGUGAAGUUUGAGCAAGCGGCCUUCCCAAGAUGUACCGAAUAUCUCAACUGAUGUCAACACCAGUAGCAAUAGAAGUGUCUUAAUAUGCACUAAUGAGGGAGAGUCUAGAACAAUGAUUGAAUUCCUCAGAUUACUGAGUUCUUCCAGGUUGGAAAGAGAAUAUGCUGGAGAGCUGUCUCCCACGUGCAUUUUCCCAAGUUUCACCUGUGAUUCCCUGGAUGGUGACCAUUCUUUUGAAUGUGGCUCCAUAGAUCCCCUGACAGGCUCCCACUAUACCUGUCGCCGAAGUCCCAGACUCCUCACCAAUGGCUACUAUAUUUGGACCGAAGACAGCUUCCUGUGCGACAAAGAUGGCAACAUAACUCUGAACCCAUCCCAGACCAGCGUUAUGUACAAGGAGAACUUAGUUAGGAUAUUUAGAAAGAAAAAGAGAAUCCGCCAUUCCUUUUCUUCUCUCUUCAACCUCAGUACCUCCAAAUCUU